Molecule: ribosomal RNA, 492 nt
Filed under: uncultured bacterium
Lineage: Bacteria
Description: partial 16S ribosomal RNA
Rfam family: Bacterial small subunit ribosomal RNA
Source: RNAcentral
AGUGAACGCUGGCGGUAGGCCUAACACAUGCAAGUCGAACGGUAGCACAGUAAGAGCUUGCUCUUACGGGUGGCGAGUGGCGGACGGGUGAGGAAUACAUCGGAAUCUACUUUUUCGUGGGGGAUAACGUAGGGAAACUUACGCUAAUACCGCAUACGACCUACGGGUGAAAGCAGGGGAUCUUCGGACCUUGCGCGAUUGAAUGAGCCGACGUCGGAUUAGCUAGUUGGCGGGGUAAAGGCCCACCAAGGCGACGAUCCGUAGCUGGUCUGAGAGGAUGAUCAGCCACACUGGAACUGAGACACGGUCCAGACUCCUACGGGAGGCAGCAGUGGGGAAUAUUGGACAAUGGGCGCAAGCCUGAUCCAGCCAUACCGCGUGGGUGAAGAAGGCCUUCGGGUUGUAAAGCCCUUUUGUUGGGAAAGAAAAGCAGCAGGUUAAUACCCCGCUGUUCUGACGGUACCCAAAGAAUAAGCACCGGCUAACUUCGUG